Molecule: ribosomal RNA, 301 nt
Filed under: uncultured bacterium
Lineage: Bacteria
Description: partial 16S ribosomal RNA
Rfam family: Bacterial small subunit ribosomal RNA
Source: RNAcentral
CAGUCGCCACGGUAACACGGAGGGUGCAAGCGUUAAUCGGAAUUACUGGGCGUAAAGCGCACGCAGGCGGUCUGACAAGUCAGAUGUGAAAUCCCCGGGCUUAACCUGGGAACUGCAUUUGAAACUGUCAGGCUGGAGUCUUGUAGAGGGGGGUGGAAUUCCAGGUGUAGCGGUGAAAUGCGUAGAGAUCUGGAGGAAUACCGGUGGCGAAGGCGGCCCCCUGGACAAAGACUGACGCUCAGGUGCGAAAGCGUGGGGAGCAAACAGGAUUAGAGACCCCGGUAGUCCCUGUCUCUUAUAC